AAGGCUCAGUCCGACGUUUCAGUUUAUUCAUUUCAAAAAAAGAUAAUUAUGACUUUCUUGAAUAUUCUUAUUUGCAGUGUUUAUCAGGAGUUUAUCAUAUUGCGAUUAUUUCAACAGAUUUCGUGAUAUGCGUUUUGAUUUUUGUGUGAUUUCUGCUGAGGAUGUGAGUUGUCGCUGUAGCACCACAAUGUUUCUUCCAUAAUCUCAUGUUGUGACACAUUUUACGUUUCUCAAAAAUAACUUGCAGCUCCUCUUAUUUACGAUUAUUACGAUAUUACGAUUAAUCUUUCAGCACGAAUAGUGUUAUGAAGAUGCAGAAUCUUCCUCCGGCUGCUGAUCGUGAUCUGAUCAUGGGCAUGUUGAAGUUAUGUUGUUUAUGAAUGAAUAAGGUGUUUAAGUUUUCAAAUCUUUCUGGCAACAAUCAACAAAAAAUUCUAAUUUCUUCAUAAUUUCUUCCUUCUUCAGACGAGGGCCAGCUGAGCCACGUGUCCUCCUCCGACAGCCUGAGCGGCGGACGCACCAGCAGCGACUCGGGCCGAGACGCGUCGGAGGGGCCGGGGCCGCUGAGCGUCCCCUGCGACGCGGCGGGACCCAGGCUCAGCCCGGAGAGGCGGGGGUCCGGCCCGGGGCCGGGGCCCAUCGUGGCCCGGAGGAAGAGCUCGGACACGGGCCGGGCGAGCAGAGCGGGCUCCUGGCAGGAGCGGAGGUCGUGCAGCUCGCUGUCCGAGAGGGAGGCGGCCGGCUCCCCGCUCAGCAACGGCUGCGGCAACAGCGUGGGCGAGGAGGAUCAACACGUGACGGAGAAGUGCGACGUCCGGUCCAACGGGGUCGACCACGGCGAGGACGCGUGUGCCGCCGCCGCCGCCGUCAUCAGCACCGGCCCGGUCAACGGCAGCGCCGACGCCGAGUGCUAGAGUGGAACGCAAAGAGGAAUCCUGGAAGUUGGUUUGUUUCUCUCCCCGUCGUCACAUCCUUGGCUUUUAUUGAUCGACCCGACGGAUGUCACUGAUAUUUUUUACGCUCGGAUCAAAUGAUUUCAGGUGUGAUUACACCUCGGAGGUUUUGGGGUUUUCUUUCAAUCGCCGGGUCAGAAACCAAACGGAAAUUUAGACUAUUUAAGUAUUAUACACUAAAUAUUUCAAAACAGUUGAAACGUCAACAGCUCUGGCGUUUCUCCACACGUCUAAAAAUCAUGCGAGUGCGAGUCCAGAGUUUGAAGGUCACGGCGAAUGUGUUCUGGUGUGAACGCAGCCUGAGAAGUGGAGCCGUUGCAGAAACAUUGACGGUUAAUGUUCAUUAUAACUGACAGACGGAGCAUGAAUAUACACCGCCAAUUCAAAAUAAAGUUAUCAGCUCCACUUUUUGCAAAAUUUUAAAUAUUCACAUGAGCUGCUCAGUAUUUAUAUGAACUCCGUAGACGGUAAAUAAAGAUGGAGGAUGCUAACGUGGAGGAGGGGGCGGGGCUUACGUCCCAUACUGUACACAGCCACCUCGGGGUGUUUGCCGGGUCAGGAACCAAAUAGAAAAUGUGGACUUUGUCGUAUUGCUAAGUAUUAUACACAAAAUACAUAAAAAACAGCCUGACAGUGGAAACGUCAUCAGCUCUGGUCCGAGCGUUUCUCAACACGCUUACAAACACGUCUAAAAAAACGUUUUUUUUCUUGAAGCGCGAGUCCAGAGUUAUAACGUCCUGGUGAAUGUGUUCGGUGUGAACGCAGCCUGAGAAGUGGAGCCGUUGCAGAAACACUGACGGUUACUGUUCGUCACAACUGACAGACCGAGCAUGAAAUUAAAAAUAAAGUUAUUAGCUCCACUUUUUUUUAGCAAUUUACAAUAUUCAUAUGAGACAAACGUGGAAAUAGAAAUGUGAUGAUUCAGCGGGUUUUCUUUUGAGCAAGAGGUUUCUCCAACAACAGCAGAGGCAGCCGGCCGGUUUCCAUCCUGCUCUUAUGCACAUUUAGAAUUUGGGUAUUAAAGGAAUUGUAAAUGCCAGAAAUUUUAAAAAGUUUAGUCUUUAAAGUUUCAUAUUAAAUCAUGAAUCAAUUUGUGUUUUCUAGAUGUUGUACGCGGUCACUGACCGUGCCCCCUCUGCUCCGCCACCAGCUGUUUAUCUUGAUUAACUUGUGAUAUUUGGAUGGAAAAUGUGCAUGAGUUCACAUUUUCUUUUUGGAAUUCGAUUGAGAUUCACACCACACGUGGAUGGAAACCCGCCCGGUCGCACGACUCAACUGAACCACGGCAAACAGAAAUGUUCUCAGGGUCCACGGGGACAAAACAUUUCACCAAACCCCAAAGAGCCUUUGUUUGUUUAGUUUGUUUUUUAAAACUCGCGGUGAAAUAACCAAAUGGGUAGAAGGUGCUUGUUCCCCUCGCCUACCUCUGCACGGACACCCGCCUCUAAACCCCAGUCGUCCUGAGCAACGUCCCCCCGUGUUAAAUCUCACCUCUCCUCGUCUGCGUCGUCGCGUCUUCGUCGUGCCUCCACCAGAGAUCAGACGUCUUCCUCGCGCCUCCCUCCUCCGCUGACGUUUCACCGCACAUCCCUUGACUUUUUUAUUUUGGUUCAGCCUGCUGUAAUGUAAAUAACUCUCCUCCUCCUGACACGUGACGCAACACGGAGAAUCAUUUUUUCGAAGAGUAUGCAAAUUACACGAGGCGCAUUUGUACGACGCCGUCACACACCUUGUCGAUAUUUCUUAAAAACACAGACUCACGUUUAACAAGUGCAUUUCUGUUCCGUUCGUAUGUUUUGAUUCUGAUGCAAAGGAGCAGAUAUUAACGAGCCCGACUGUCGUUCAUAUCCAGGAUGUUUCCGGGUCCUCGUACUUUACUGAUACUGCAUAGUUGUCAACCCCCCGUGUCUUUACUUACAGGGACUUCCUGUAUCUGACAAAGAGUUUGGGUGACUAUAGAUAUUGUGUGUGUGCGUGUGUGUGUGUGUUUGGGAUAUAAAUGGAGUGUUAAAGGGUUUUUUAAAAAGAACGUGGAUUUUCAUUUUAGCAUCACUUGAAAUAAAAUUGCAAUUCAAACUAAAGCAAGUAUUGUUUGUCUUUAUCUGGGGGGUACGGGGGACAAAAAACACAUGAAAAAGUACAAACCUGCUUAAACCUGCAUUCAAUUUUUUUUGCCACUUGGGGGCAGCAGCACAACAAGAUGCAGGCACUGGAUGACAUAUUAUCACCAAGGAAACAGGAAGAUGUCAUCGUUUAAGAGCAGACUAAUAACCACAAAUCAAUCCUACAUUUUCCUACAUAAUUAUUUUUAUUUUUUUAUUUUGAAACUCAUGACAGAAUAUUUUAUGCAUUUUUUUUUAAACUGCCCUCAGAGAGAUCCACAACUACCACGUGCAACA
This is a long non-coding RNA of Scophthalmus maximus (turbot), 3352 nucleotides long. The record is from Ensembl. Lineage: Eukaryota; Metazoa; Chordata; Actinopteri; Pleuronectiformes; Scophthalmidae.